GGUAUAAAUCCCGAAAAUGAAUCCGGUUUCGCUUCAGCGCCUCUUCGAAGUCC
RNAcentral lists this unclassified non-coding RNA (53 nucleotides) under plant metagenome. RNAcentral's name for it is "partial contains 5.8S ribosomal RNA, internal transcribed spacer 2, and large subunit ribosomal RNA". The record is from RNAcentral.